AUGGCGGCGGAGUCUGCCUGGUGCUGGCCGUGGCUCAGCUCCGGCGCGGCGUGGUUCCUCUUCUUCAACGUCGUCGUCGGCGCCGUGGCAGUCCUGUCCUGGCGGCAGGGCGGCGACGAGCCGAUGUCCAGGCGGAGGAGGCUCACCCGGAGCGCGUCGUCCAUGGUCAUGGAGCGCCUCCGCUCCAUGUCCGUCUUCGCCGCCUUCCACUCCGUGCCCGAGCACGACUACGGCAGCGGCCUCGCGUCGCCGCCGUCGCUGUCGCAGCUCCACCACGUGCAAGAGUACUACACGUCGUCGCAAGUAGAGGGAGGAGAGGAGGUCGGGCACGCGGUGAAGCAGCCGGAGCCAGCCCUGCCGGAGGGGGAAAGGGAAAGGCUGGCGGCGGCGACCGUGGCUCCGUCGACAUUAAGCGAUCCUGAUGCAGCAGCAGCAGCGGAAGUACGUUCAGCGGCUUCUGUGUCAGGGAGCGUCAAGGCAGAAGCAGAGACACGGAUGGAGGUGUCGAGAUGUUUGGGAGACGCGCCUGCGCUGGAGCCAUCGCCAGCCAGGGCCGCCCCCAAGGGUGCUACGACGGAGAGGCCGAGGAAGCGGGGGCCGGCGAAGGUGGCGGAGAUCGUCCAGCGGCGCGCGUACGCGGAGCUGGAAGAGAAGGCGGAGGUGAACGCGCAAGCCGAGCGGUUCAUCCGGCAGUUCCGGGAGGAGCUCAAGCUGGAGCGCAUCAAGUCCAUCCUCAACCGCGGCCGCGCCGCCGCCGCCACAUCGGCACGGUAG
This 774-nucleotide ribosomal RNA is filed under the name Triticum aestivum (bread wheat). RNAcentral's name for it is "partial small subunit ribosomal RNA". The record is from RNAcentral. Lineage: Eukaryota; Viridiplantae; Streptophyta; Magnoliopsida; Poales; Poaceae.